This 469-nucleotide ribosomal RNA is filed under the name uncultured bacterium. RNAcentral's name for it is "bacterial SSU rRNA". It matches the Rfam family "Bacterial small subunit ribosomal RNA", at positions 209 to 693 of the family's 1533-position model. The record is from RNAcentral.
CGAAAGGCGUCAGAAGAGGAGUCCGCGGCCGAUUAGCUAGUUGGUGAGGUAAAAGCUCACCAAGGCGACGAUCGGUAGCCGGCCUGAGAGGGCACACGGCCACACUGGCACUGAAACACGGGCCAGACUCCUACGGGAGGCAGCAGUGGGGAAUCUUGCACAAUGGGGGAAACCCUGAUGCAGCGACGCCGCGUGAACGAUGAAGCCCUUCGGGGUGUAAAGUUCUUUCGGCAGGGACGAUUAUGACUGUACCUGCAGAAGCAGCUGCGGCUAACUACGUGCCAGCAGCCGCGGUAAUACGUAGGCAGCAAGCGUUGUUCGGAAUUACUGGGCGUAAAGAGUGCGUAGGUGGUUGACUAAGUUUGGUGUGAAAUCUCCCGGCUUAACUGGGAGGGUGCGCCGAAAACUGGUUGGCUAUGAGUGUGGGAGAGAGAAAGCGGAAUUCCAGGUGUAGCGGUGAAAUGCGUAU